Molecule: ribosomal RNA, 478 nt
Filed under: uncultured bacterium
Lineage: Bacteria
Description: partial 16S ribosomal RNA
Rfam family: Bacterial small subunit ribosomal RNA
Source: RNAcentral
GACGAACGCUGGCGGCGUGCUUAACACAUGCAAGUCGAACGGAAAGGCCCUUCGGGGUACUCGAGUGGCGAACGGGUGAGUAACACGUGGGUGAUCUGCCCUGCACUUUGGGAUAAGCCUGGGAAACUGGGUCUAAUACCGAAUAGGACCGCGGCCUUCAUGGGUUGUGGUGGAAAGCUUUUGCGGUGUGGGAUGGGCCCGCGGCCUAUCAGCUUGUUGGUGGGGUAAUGGCCUACCAAGGCGACGACGGGUAGCCGGCCUGAGAGGGUGACCGGCCACACUGGGACUGAGAUACGGCCCAGACUCCUACGGGAGGCAGCAGUGGGGAAUAUUGCACAAUGGGCGCAAGCCUGAUGCAGCGACGCCGCGUGAGGGAUGACGGCCUUCGGGUUGUAAACCUCUUUCAGCUCCGACGAAGCGCAAGUGACGGUAGGAGUAGAAGAAGGACCGGCCAACUACGUGCCAGCCGCCGCCGUAA